CGCGGCCUAUCAGCUUGUUGGUGAGGUAACGGCUCACCAAGGCAUCGACGGGUAGCUGGUCUGAGAGGACGAUCAGCCACACUGGGACUGAGACACGGCCCAGACUCCUGCGGGAGGCAGCAGUGGGGAAUCUUGCGCAAUGGGCGAAAGCCUGACGCAGCAACGCCGCGUGGGGGAUGAAGGCUCUCGGGUUGUAAACCCCUUUCAGCAGGGACGAAAUUGACGGUACCAGCAGAAGAAGCCCCGGCCAACUACGUGCCAGCAGCCGCGGUGACACGUAGGGGGCGAGCGUUGUCCGGAAUUAUUGGGCGUAAAGAGCUCGUAGGCGGUUUAGUAAGUCAGAUGUGAAAGGUUGGGGCUCAACCCUAAGACUGCAUCCGAUACUGCUAUGACUAGAGUCCGGUAGGGGAGCAUGGAAUUCCUGGUGUAGCGGUGAAAUGCGCAGAUAUCAGGAGGAACACCAGUGGCGAAGGCGGUGCUCUGGGCCGGUACUGACGCUGAGGAGCGAAAGCGUGGGUAGCGAACAGGAUUAGAUACCCUGGUAGUCCACGCCGUAAACGUUGGGCACUAGGUGUGGGGCCUACUUAACGGGUUCCGUGCCGUAGCUAACGCAUUAAGUGCCCCGCCUGGGGAGUACGG
This 639-nucleotide ribosomal RNA is filed under the name uncultured bacterium. RNAcentral describes it as "bacterial SSU rRNA". It matches the Rfam family "Bacterial small subunit ribosomal RNA", at positions 232 to 885 of the family's 1533-position model. The record is from RNAcentral.